AACCAGAUAUGGAACUGCGAAAUGUAUGUUUCCAGCGUUAUCUUUCCAAGCCAUGCAAAAAGGGUCAAAGUGUAGCUUCGGAAGUUUUGAGAGACAUUUCUCAAACAUAUGUACACAGUUAUUGGAAUCCAAGAGGUAUAAGGAUGGUAUUUAUUGUACGUAAUUUUGUCCAGCUUGUAUACAUGCUCAUACCACAGAUAACCCACCGAAAGGGAUAUCAAUGCCACAACUGUUUUGAUUGAUAUUUUGCGUUUCACUUCUGUUUCCUCCAGUUUCUCCAUCCACCUUUCCACUGUUGGAUGAUAGUAGGCAUAUAUCAUUCCAAUUAUCCAGAUAUAACGAUCAAGACCUGAGCGAAAAUGCCAUUCGUGCAACCGAGGUAAAUCUGGUUUCGCAGGAUCAGUGUAGCCAAGGAAAAAUGUAAAUGGGCUCCACACCAGCUCAAAAACUCCA
This 453-nucleotide unclassified non-coding RNA is filed under the name Hevea brasiliensis (rubber tree). Lineage: Eukaryota; Viridiplantae; Streptophyta; Magnoliopsida; Malpighiales; Euphorbiaceae. The record is from RNAcentral.